AGUCGAGGGGUAUUGGUUUUCGGACCAAGAGACCGGCGCACGGGUGCGUAACGCGUAUGCAAUCUACCUUUUACAGAGGGAUAGCCCAGAGAAAUUUGGAUUAAUACCUCAUAGUAUUAUUGAAUGGCAUCAUUUAAUAAUUAAAGUCACAACGGUAAAAGAUGAGCAUGCGUCCCAUUAGCUUGUUGGUAAGGUAACGGCUUACCAAGGCAACGAUGGGUAGGGGUCCUGAGAGGGGGAUCCCCCACACUGGUACUGAGACACGGACCAGACUCCUACGGGAGGCAGCAGUGAGGAAUAUUGGUCAAUGGGCGCAAGCCUGAACCAGCCAUGCCGCGUGCAGGAUGACGGUCCUAUGGAUUGUAAACUGCUUUUGUACAGGAAGAAACAUCUCUACGUGUAGAGACUUGACGGUACUGUAAGAAUAAGGAUCGGCUAACUCCGUGCCAGCAGCCGCGGUAAUACGGAGGAUCCAAGCGUUAUCCGGAAUCAUUGGGUUUAAAGGGUCCGUAGGCGGUUUUGUAAGUCAGUGGUGAAAGCCCAUCGCUUAACGGUGGAACGGCCGUUGAUACUGCAAGACUUGAAUUAUUAGGAAGUAACUAGAAUAUGUAGUGUAGCGGUGAAAUGCUUAGAGAUUACAUGGAAUACCAAUUGCGAAGGCAGGUUACUACUAAUUGAUUGACGCUGAUGGACGAAAGCGUGGGGAGCGAACAGGAUUAGAUACCCUGGUAGUCCACGCCGUANACGAUGGAUACUAGCUGUUCGGAGCAAUCUGAGUGGCUAAGCGAAAGUGAUAAGUAUCCCACCUGGGGAGUACGUUCGCAAGAA
Molecule: ribosomal RNA, 828 nt
Filed under: uncultured Bacteroidota bacterium
Lineage: Bacteria; Pseudomonadati; Bacteroidota
Description: bacterial SSU rRNA
Rfam family: Bacterial small subunit ribosomal RNA
Source: RNAcentral